Molecule: long non-coding RNA, 562 nt
Organism: Melospiza melodia melodia
Lineage: Eukaryota; Metazoa; Chordata; Aves; Passeriformes; Passerellidae
Exons: 4
Source: RefSeq, a predicted model, not a curated record
AGACCCCAAAAAGGGGAAGUUUUGUGCAAAGGGGGGGGUGUCACGAGAUUUUAGGAGCUGCCCAAUCAGACGCUGAGCUCAGGAAAGGGGGCGUGGCUUGAUUUGCCACCCUUAGCCCCGCCCCUUUUCCUCCCCCACCGCCGCCAUGGCCCCCCCCCGGGACCCUCGGCCUGCUCCUGCUGCUGCUCGCCCCAGGAUUGGCCGCGGCGCAGUCAGAAUGUUCCGGGUGCCUCCCAGGGCCGGGACCAAUCACGGCGCUCGUUGUUGGUGACGUCAUCCUGACCCUGCUGAUCGCGGGCGGAGCCUAUUGGCUGGCGAGGCGGGGCCUCAGAGCCCCGCCCAAGCCCCGCCCCCCGGAGCCGCGACUCGCACUACCAGGAGCUGCAGGGCGCGCGCGGGGACAUCUACAGCGAGCUCAAGCGCUGAGCGCCGCCUCCCCCGCGGCCCUCCGCCCUCUAUUGCCGCCAUUAAAGCGCUUUGUGCCCUUUCCGCAGCCAUUUUUGUCCGUUUUUUCACUGAUUUCGCCCCAAUUCCGCCUUUGUUUAUCAAAAGUGGGGGAAGU